GGGGUUGUGGCUCAGCGGUAGAGCACUUGUCUAGCAUACAUGAGGCCCUGGGUUUGAUCCUCAGCACCACA
RNAcentral lists this transfer RNA (71 nucleotides) under Marmota monax (woodchuck). Its description in RNAcentral is "tRNA.Ala". It matches the Rfam family "tRNA". Rfam says of the family: Transfer RNA (tRNA) molecules are approximately 80 nucleotides in length. Lineage: Eukaryota; Metazoa; Chordata; Mammalia; Rodentia; Sciuridae. The record is from RNAcentral.